This 406-nucleotide ribosomal RNA is filed under the name uncultured Sphingobacteriia bacterium. Its description in RNAcentral is "bacterial SSU rRNA". It matches the Rfam family "Bacterial small subunit ribosomal RNA", at positions 504 to 916 of the family's 1533-position model. The record is from RNAcentral. Lineage: Bacteria; Pseudomonadati; Bacteroidota; Sphingobacteriia.
CGUGCCAGCAGCCGCGGUAAUACGGAAGGUGCAAGCGUUAUCCGGAAUCACUGGGUUUAAAGGGUGCGUAGGCGGUUGCGUAAGUCAGAAGUGAAAGCUCACAGCUUAACUGUGGAAUUGCUUUUGAUACUGCGCGACUAGAAUCAGGUUGAGGUUGGCGGAAUGUGACAUGUAGCGGUGAAAUGCAUAGAUAUGUCAUAGAACACCAAUUGCGAAGGCAGCUGACUGGACCUGCAUUGACGCUGAGGCACGAAAGCGUGGGGAGCGAACAGGAUUAGAUACCCUGGUAGUCCACGCCCUAAACGAUGCUUACUCGAUGUGUGAAAUAUUGCGCAUCCAAGGGAAACCGUUAAGUAAGCCACCUGGGGAGUACGUUCGCAAGAAUGAAACUCAAAUGAAUUGACGG